Molecule: ribosomal RNA, 1415 nt
Filed under: Stenotrophomonas maltophilia
Lineage: Bacteria; Pseudomonadati; Pseudomonadota; Gammaproteobacteria; Lysobacterales; Lysobacteraceae
Description: 16S ribosomal RNA
Rfam family: Bacterial small subunit ribosomal RNA
Source: RNAcentral
UUUCAGUGGGGGAUACCUUACGGAAACUUACGCUAAUACCGCAUACUACCUACAGGGGGAAGGCCCGGGAUCUUCUGACCUUGCGCGAUUGACUGCGCCGAUGUCGGAUUAACUAGUUGGCGGGGUAAAGGCCCGCCAAGGCCACUAUCCGUAUGCUGGUCUGACAAGAUGAUCAGCCACACGUGGAACUGAGACACGAUUCCAACACUCCUACGCGGAGGCAGACCCUGGGGAAUAUUGGACAAUGAGGCGCAGAGCCUGCAUCCAGCCAUACCGCGUGGGUGAAGAAGGCCUUCGGGUUGUAAAGCCCUUUUGUUGGGAAAGAAAUCCAGCCGGCUAAUACCUGGUUGGGAUGACGGUACCCAAAGAAUAACCACCGGCUAACUUCGUGCCAGCAGCCGCGGUAAUACUAAUGGUGCAAGCGUUACUCUGAAUUACUGGGCGUAAAGCGUGCGAAAGCGGUUAUUUAAGUCUGUUGUGAAACCCCUGGGCUCAACCUGGGAACUGCAGUGGAAACUGGACAACUUCAGAGUGGUAAAGGGAAAUGCAAUUCCCUGUGUAGCAAUGAAAUGCGUAAAGAUCGGUAGGAACAUCCUUGGCGAAGGCAACUACCUGGACCAAGACUGACACUGAGGAUCAAAAGCGUGGGGAGCACACACGAUUAAAUACCCUGGUAGUCCACGCCCUAAACAAUGCUAACUGGAUGUUGGGUGCAAUUUGGCACUCUCUAUCGAGCUAACGCGUUAAGUUCUUCCGCCUGGGGAGUACUGUCGCGAGACUGAAACUCAAAGGAAUUGACGGGGGCCCACUCAAGCCGCGGACUAUGUGGUUUAAUUCCAUGCAACUCGAAGAACCUUCCCUUCUCUUGAUAUGUCGAGAACUUUCCAGAGAUGGAUUGGUGCCUUCAGGAACUCCAACAAAGGUGCUGCAUGGGUGUCUUCACCUCUUGUCUUGAGAUGUUGGGUUAAAUCCCGCAACAAGCGCAACCCUUGUCCUUAUUUGCCACCACAUAUUGGUGGGAACUCUAAGGAGACCGCCGGUGACAAACCGAAAGAAAGGGGGGAUUAAGUCAAAUUAUUCUGGGCCUUACGGGCAUGGCUACACACCUACUACAAUGGUAGGGACAGAGGGCUGCAAACCGGCCACUGUAAACCUAUCCCAGAAACCCUAUCUCAGUCCGGAUUGGAGUCUGCAACUCGACUCCAUGAAGUCGGAAUCGCUAGUAAUCGCAGAUCAGCAUUGCUGCGGUGAAUACGUUCCCGGGCCUUGUACACCCCCCCCGUCACACCGUGGGAGUUUGUUGCACCAGAGGCAGGUAGCUUAACCUUCGGGAGGGCGCUUGCCACGGUGUGGCCGAUGAGUGGGGUGAAGUCAUAACAGGGUACCCGUAUCAAAAGGUGCGGGUGGAUCACCUC